Molecule: unclassified non-coding RNA, 4723 nt
Filed under: Haliotis rufescens (red abalone)
Lineage: Eukaryota; Metazoa; Mollusca; Gastropoda; Lepetellida; Haliotidae
Description: protein phosphatase 1 regulatory subunit 42-like, transcript variant X5
Source: RNAcentral
GUGUUAUUUGCUGCCUCAUUACUGUCAGAGUUCUUCCACUGUCAGUUCACGUUUCCAUUCAAUUUGUGACUUCAAAAGGACUUGAAAUGUAAAAAUACCGCCCAUGGAUUAUAUACACAAUAACUAUGUAUUGCCAUGUCAUUAAGCAAGCUUGAAACAUGGACAUUGCCCUAUAAUAGUUCGUGAUCUAACAGCAUCCAAGAUGCCUAAGUUGACAAUAGACCUGAUUGCCCGUGGUACAUCUGGCUAUACAAAGAAGAAGCGAGAUGAAUCAAUGCAGCAGUAUCUUCGACGAUUAACACAUCUUUACCUAGAGGACAAGUCUAUAGAUGAAGUGGGUGAGGACUUGGCAUUGUGCCGGAACCUGAUAGUCCUGUAUCUCUAUGACAACCAACUGAGUAAAGUGCCGGUUCUCCAUCACAACCAGAGCCUCACUCACUUAUAUCUACAGAACAACAACAUCUGCAAAAUAGAAAACCUUGGGCCCCUCAACCGACUUGUAAAACUCUACAUCGGUGGCAACAACAUCACGGUUGUGGAGGGGCUAGAGAAGCUGGACCAGCUGCAGGAGCUGCACGUAGAGAACCAGCAUCUGCCCCCAGGAGAGAAGCUGCUCUUUGACCCCAGGUCACUCAGAACUCUCGCUAACACUCUACAAGUGCUCAACAUAUCAGGCAAUAACCUGGACAGCGUUAAGGACCUGGAGGUGUUGAAGCGUCUCACACAGAUGAUGGCUAGUGACAACUUCCUCAAUGACAUGAAGGAGCUUGCUCAUAUUCUGGGACUGUGGCCCUUCCUGUGGAGGCUGGAGUUGAUGGGCAACCCAGUGUGUCACAAGGCCAAAUACAGGGACAGAAUUAUUGUCAUGUCAAAACAUUUAGAGAUGCUAGAUGGGAAGGAGAUCUCUGAAACAUCUCGUAAAUUUUUGUGCAACUGGCAUGCAAGCAAAGAAACACAGAAGAGAAAGCGAGAUGAACUCCUGCGGAAAGGAACGAUGAUGGCGGACAUGACUGAGAUUCAUACUGGUACAAACAAGGAUGAGGAUGUGGACAGUGCAAUAGGUGGUCACAAGGAUCUUCCUCCUGUGAAAGGACCACCAAAGAGUUCCAGUGUUCCUGGAUAUUUGAUGCCAGGGUUACCACGGAAACAGUUUGAUGAGUUGUUGGCUAAAAACAACAUGUCUGACAACACUGUCAACACCACUGUCAACAACCGUGCCAGUAAAACCCGCAGUGGUGUCCUUCGUGCCAAGUACACUGACGCGCAAGGUGUUGUCCACAUGAAGCCUGUGUCCUCUGCCCCAGUUCGUAGGCAUCCCUUCAUGAGUGUCAGCUUCGAAGUGACUGGUGGCCUCAGAAACCAGCACAUUCCUCAGCAGUUCCUUUAGAGAUGCCCGUUGUCCCACACAGAUUGCAGAAUGUUUGCCGAUUUGUGUGCCAUCUCACCAGUACGUUUUAUCUUGCACAACAGCUCCACAACGACUCAUAUUAUGAGAUACUAGUAAAGAUGACAUUGGACUGACCUUUUCAACCUUAGCUUAAUCAUUUACUCUUUCACUUCCAUGGUCAUCUUGUGUGGACUGACACAUUCACCGCUACCUAGACUAAUUUGUUAAGGGCGAUGCCAAUGCUGUCAAGUUGAUGAUUGACCUCGCCUGGAAGAGAGUCCAUUAUGUAUAAUAGGUGCCCUCAUCGAUGGUCACCUGAACGUAUCUGUGGAGCAGUGUUAAAUUGAGAGACAUUGUUGUCUCAUGAUUAAAAGUGCUACCUAACCAGAUUCAUUGUAUGCCAUUGAGAAUGAGACUUGUAUGGAUUUAUCAGAAUAAUAUUGCUAGAUUUAGAGAUAAUGUUGUUAUUUCACAUACUGUAUUUUUGUUUCAUUACUUUGCAAUGCAUAUGAAGAAAUUUUCUGAUGAAUCUUUGACAUGUGAUACAUUGUAAAUAUUAUACUGCUGUUGAUGUAUAUAUUUUGAAUUUAUUUAUUGUAUUUAAGUGUCUGUGGUGAUGAAUUAAUAUAAUACUGUUAUUGAAGUGAUGAUCAUACUGUUUGAUAUGGUGCUUACAAGUGAACUGUUAUGUAAUUAAUACAUGUAGAGAUCUUUUUCAGUCGAAUCUGGAUAAAAGCAAGUUCAACAGAGGUCAAGAUAAUUUUGUUAUUGCUAAUCUUUGUUAGUCAGCUGAACAACAGUUGCUUUUAAUCCAGGAUAAUUAUAAUUGUCCUUAUUCUACCUGAUGGAUCACCAUAUCCAACUUUUUUUUUAUCAACUUGUUUUUUUGUACAAAAAUAGACAUGUAAUAUUUUAGAAGAAGCCUUUCUUGUUAAGACUUCAAUUCUUUGUAUUAGUCACAUCAACUGACUGGAAGAGUUGUAUAUUAAAUUUCAAAAAAACAUAAUUUGGUUGGUAGGUUUCAUUUAAGUUUAACCAUACAGCUAUUGUUGGCUGUUAAUGUUAUCAUUCAAGUGAAGAACCAGGUUAGAAGUGGUUUUCUGCAAUCCAUGCUUGUUGUAAGAGACGACCAACAGGAUCGGGUGGACAUGUUCGCUGACUUGGUUGAUGCAUGCCAUCGUAUCCCAACUGCGUAGAUUGAUGUUCAUGAUGUCAACCACUGGAUUGUCUGGUCCAGGCUUGAUUAUUUACAGGCUGCUGACAUAUAGCUGGAAUGUUGCUGAGAGCUAAUAUUCUCCACAUUAUUAUUACAGGUGUGAAGUGAUACAAGUAUACUAGUUGUAAAACAAGAUGUAAGUUUCUCUAUUAAACCUUGAUGGUUGUUGUUAAAAUGCAGAGUUAAUUCUAUUCACUUAUGAAGAUCAGUGGAAUGAGUAACUGGACAUGAACAGACAUACAGCAAUGUAUAUAGACUAUUUUUUUAAAGAUAAUAUUACUAUGUAGUAUUUGAUGGUUGCCUUGAUGCUAUUGCAUGACUUGACCUUAGCAGUAUUACAGCUUCUUGAUGCACAGAGUUGGUUUUAGUGUGUUGAUAUCAUUAUCAACUAGGUUAGAGGUAUCAGUGAUAUUAAUCCAAGUGCAUUCCUUGAAAAGGUAAUAUACGUAGCUAGAAUAUGAUAAUCAUAGUAUGGAAACUAUGCUGGCCUGAAUGCUUUUCACACUUGUACUGAGAAUUUAAUAGCCUUCACGCUCAAUACAAAGUUCAGCUGAUGCGACCUCCUUUGGAGGUGAUCUCAGAUUUUUGUGCAGAGGGGUAUUGUAUCGGAGUAAAGAGCUCAUUGUGUACUUGGAGGUUUGGUUUUACCAAUAUGGGAACAUCUAUGGCCUGAGUCAAUUUAACUCUCCUCCGACUGUAAGCUUUGAUGUACUGUACUGAAAUACUGUCUGAUGACCACUCAUAAACCUAAUACAGGCAUGAACCACAAGACGUGUGGAGUGGUAUUUGAGUUUUGAAAUAUGUACUAUUGAGGAAAUUUGGAUGAGACAAUGUCCCAGGUGCUCAGCUAACAGUAUUGAACUUUCUAAUGUCUUGUGUGUUGACAUUGAGUUUAUCAUAUGGGUUAUCCACAGUGUAUGCUUAAUUGUGAUCCAAGGGAUCAUGUGAUGAAUUCUGUUUAGAAUGGUUUCACUACACAAGUUUGAUUUGUUGAUGUUGACCACACAUUACUGAGGACAUUGUCUUCAUGUGACAUGUUUGUGUCUUGUCUGUGUGCUGUAUUUAGUUUGAUUGUUUGUGUAUGUUAUACCUUGACAUUGUAGGGAGGAAAUAUGUUUGAGAGUCCAUUGUCAAUGAUGGAAAUGGAAUGGGGAUUGGAUGGCAUUGCCUAUUGUUAAAUUGGACAGUUAGAGGGAUAACUAUCUCAGAAGAGCAUCUGAGUUGGUUACCCAAAUGAUGCUCAUUUUAGCAUCUCCUCCCGAGUCAGCCGCUGGUUUGACUGUUCCAGGCCUGGGUCCUGUUCGACAGAGCGAUCUUAGCGCUAAUAUGAUCAGAACUGCCAUACUUUGACAGAGACAGAAGACAAUCGCUAGCGCUAGUACCUCUUUGUAAUCUGAUCUUGCUGGCUGAUGCAUCUAAUAUGUUGCUGAACAUGGCAAUGAACUUGCUUUCAAUUUCCUCAUUUUUCACACCUGAUUAACACAUCUCCAGCGCUUGCGGCAGAUAACUGCAUAAUUGCUGAUGCAUCGUAAAGCAAUAUUCACUCACUCAUUCAUCCCCAGAAAGGCAUUAAUUUACCUAAAUCAAAAUAUUUUAUGACAUUCAAAUAUGAUUAAUCAGAAAACACUUCUUUAUUGAUAGCAUUUACAUUGUUUCACGGGAAUAUAUGAACCUGUGUAGGCCCCUGGUAGCCUGUUAACUGAAAAGCCAUUUGAGGUGUUUUCAUCCAAAUGAAAUGUUUUCUAUUGAUGUAUGAAAAAAACAGGAAGCUUUGAAAAAGAAAUAUUUCUUGAUGAGGAUUCUGAUGGAGAAAUAUUUCUAUUAAUGAUACUUGAUUUAGCUGCUCACUUGAACUAGACUCCAUUAUUUACAGGCCAUGAUAUAGCUGCAAUAUUGCUGACUGUCAUGUUAAACAACAAACAAACAAACACUUUCUAAAAAUGUCUAAUGUGUUUGUAGACACCUGCAAUUUUUGCUCAUGUUUAGACUGAUUAUGUUGCUCUGUUAGUUUCAUAUACUGUACAUAGACACAUGUGUUGUACAGUCAUAUGAUCAGUUUGAGAGUUGAGGUUGCAUUUUGUGUUGCUUUGUAUGUCACCAUAAAAUAGUUUGAACAUGAA